This 433-nucleotide ribosomal RNA is filed under the name uncultured bacterium. Its description in RNAcentral is "partial 16S ribosomal RNA". It matches the Rfam family "Bacterial small subunit ribosomal RNA", at positions 29 to 507 of the family's 1533-position model. The record is from RNAcentral.
AACGAACGCUGGCGGCAUGCCUAACACAUGCAAGUCGAACGAGACCUUCGGGUCUAGUGGCGCACGGGUGCGUAACGCGUGGGAACCUGCCCUUAGGUUCGGAAUAACUCCCCGAAAGGGGUGCUAAUACCGGAUAAUGUCUUCGGACCAAAGAUUUAUCGCCUUGGGAUGGGCCCGCGUUGGAUUAGCUAGUUGGUAGGGUAAUAGCCUACCAAGGCGACGAUCCAUAGCUGGUCUGAGAGGAUGAUCAGCCACACUGGGACUGAGACACGGCCCAGACUCCUACGGGAGGCAGCAGUGGGGAAUAUUGGACAAGGGGCGAAAGUCUGAUCCAGCAAUGCCGCGUGAGUGAUGAAGGCCUUAGGGUUGUAAAGCUCUUUUACCCGGGAUGAUAAUGACAGUACCGGGAGAAUAAGCUCCGGCUAACUCCGUG